RNAcentral lists this ribosomal RNA (238 nucleotides) under uncultured bacterium. RNAcentral describes it as "partial 16S ribosomal RNA". It matches the Rfam family "Bacterial small subunit ribosomal RNA", at positions 15 to 235 of the family's 1533-position model. The record is from RNAcentral.
GAUCCUGGCUCAGGACGAACGCUGGCGGCGUGCUUAACACAUGCAAGUCGAACGGAGCACCCCUGAAUGAGGUUUCGGCCAAAGGAAGGGAAUGCUUAGUGGCGGACUGGUGAGUAACGCGUGAGGAACCUGCCUUUCAGAGGGGGACAACAGUUGGAAACGACUGCUAAUACCGCAUGACACAUGAAUGGGGCAUCCCAUUGAUGUCAAAGAUUUAUCGCUGAAAGAUGGCCUCGCG